This 73-nucleotide transfer RNA is filed under the name Mus musculus (house mouse). Its description in RNAcentral is "tRNA-Ala". Lineage: Eukaryota; Metazoa; Chordata; Mammalia; Rodentia; Muridae. The record is from RNAcentral.
GUGGGUGUGGCUCAGGGGCAGAGUGCUUGUCUAGCAUGCCCAAAGACCAAGGUUCAAACCCUAGCACCGCAUA